Molecule: ribosomal RNA, 731 nt
Filed under: uncultured soil bacterium
Lineage: Bacteria
Description: bacterial SSU rRNA
Rfam family: Bacterial small subunit ribosomal RNA
Source: RNAcentral
AGAGCGAACGCUGGCGGCAGGCCUAAUACAUGCAAGUCGAACGGAUCCUUCGGGAUUAGUGGCGGACGGGUGAGUAACACGUGGGAACGUGCCCUUUGGUUCGGAACAAGCCGGGGAAACCUGGUCUAAUGCCGAAUGUGCCCUUCGGGGGAAAGAUUUAUCGCCAUUGGAGCGGCCCGCGUCUGAUUAGCUUGUUGGUGGGGUAAAGGCCCACCAAGGCUACGAUCAGUAGCUGGUCUGAGAGGAUGAUCAGCCACACUGGGACUGAGACACGGCCCAGACUCCUACGGGAGGCAGCAGUAGGGAAUCUUGCGCAAUGGGCGAAAGCCUGAACGAGUGACGCCGCGUGCGGGAUGACGCCUUUCGGGGUGUAAACCGCUUUUCCCAGGGACGAGGAUGGACGGUACUUGGGGAAUAAGUCUCGGCUAACUACGUGCCAGCAGCCGCGGUAAUACGUAGGAGGCGAGCGUUGUCCGGAAUUACUGGGCGUAAAGCGCGCGUAGGCGGUCUUUUGCGUAGGCGGUGAAAGCCCCAGGCUCACCUUGGGGAGGUCCGUCUAAACGGGGAGACUAGAGGGCGGUAGGGGUUGGCGGAACGCCCGGAGUAGCGGUGAAAUGCGUUGAGAUCGGGCAGAACACCAGUGGCGAAGGCGGCCGACUGGGCCGUCCCUGACGCUGAGGCGCGAAAGCCAGGGGAGCGAACGGAAUUAGAUACUCCGGUAGUCCUGGCCC